Molecule: non-coding RNA, 307 nt
Organism: Salvelinus sp. IW2-2015
Lineage: Eukaryota; Metazoa; Chordata; Actinopteri; Salmoniformes; Salmonidae
Source: RefSeq, a predicted model, not a curated record
UACACACAGAACACUUGAUCCGUAACCACUGAGGGAGACAUCCAGACCCCUGCACCGCCAGGCUAGAUGCCAUCAUGUUGGGUCCAUGGAGGAAGACAUUUGCCUUCAGUGGUGAUUAUGUGUGGACGGUCUCUGACAUAGGGCACAAUGCACCCAUGAAGAUCGACCAGCUGUGGAUGGACUGCCUGGGAACCUGAACGCAGCCGUUUACUCUCAGAGAACCAACAAAACAUACUUUUUAAAGGUGAUAAAGUGUGGAGAUAUACCAGUUUUCUCCUGGACUACGGGUAUCCCAAAGAGGUGAAAC